CAGCCGCCGCGGUAAUACGUAGGUGGCAAGCGUUAUCCGGAAUUAUUGGGCGUAAAGAGUGAGCAGGCGGCAGUUUAAGUCUGGAGUGAAAGCGUGAGGCUCAACUUCAUACAGCUCCAGAAACUGAACAGCUAGAGUACGAGAGAAGUAAGUGGAAUUCCAUGUGUAGCGGUGAAAUGCGUAGAUAUAUGGAGGAACACCAGUGGCGAAGGCGACUUACUAGCUCGAGACUGACGCUCAGUCACGAAAGCGUGGGUAGCAAAUAGGAUUAGAUACCCUAGUAGUCCACGCCGUAAACGAUGAAAACUAAGUAUUGCCGCGAGGCAGUGCUGUAGCUAACGCAUUAAGUUUUCCGCCUGGGGAGUACGCUCGCAAGAGUGAAACUUAAAGGAAUUGACGGGGGCCCGCACAAGCAGUGGAGCAUGUGGUUUAAUUCGACGCUACGCGAAGAACCUUACCAGGACUUGACAUAGGAUUUAAAACUCUAGAAAUAGAGCCAUAAUAAGUCCAUACAGGUGGUGCAUGGCC
Molecule: ribosomal RNA, 528 nt
Filed under: uncultured archaeon
Lineage: Archaea
Description: bacterial SSU rRNA
Rfam family: Bacterial small subunit ribosomal RNA
Source: RNAcentral